UACGGAGGGCGCAAGCGUUGUUCGGAAUCACUGGGCGUAAAGCGCGUGUAGGCGGCUUGGUAAGUCGGGUGUGAAAGCCCGGGGCUCAACCCCGGAACUGCAUUCGAAACUGCCUCGCUCGAGUCCCGGAGAGGGUGGUGGAAUUCCCGGUGUAGAGGUGAAAUUCGUAGAUAUCGGGAGGAACACCAGUGGCGAAGGCGGCCACCUGGACGGUGACUGACGCUGAGAAGCGAAAGCGUGGGGAGCAAACAGG
RNAcentral lists this ribosomal RNA (253 nucleotides) under uncultured bacterium. RNAcentral's name for it is "partial 16S ribosomal RNA". It matches the Rfam family "Bacterial small subunit ribosomal RNA", at positions 524 to 776 of the family's 1533-position model. The record is from RNAcentral.